AGAAUCAACGCUGGCGGCGUGCCUAACACAUGCAAGUCGCACGAGAAAGGGACUUCGGUCCUGAGUACAGUGGCGCACGGGUGAGUAACACGUGAAUCAUCUACCUUCGAGUGGGGAAUAACUGAGAGAAAUCUUAGCUAAUACCGCAUAAUACCUACGGGUCAAAGCAGCAAUGCGCUUGGAGAGGAGUUCGCGGCCGAUUAGUUAGUUGGCGGGGUAAUGGCCCACCAAGACGAUGAUCGGUA
Molecule: ribosomal RNA, 245 nt
Filed under: uncultured bacterium
Lineage: Bacteria
Description: partial small subunit ribosomal RNA
Rfam family: Bacterial small subunit ribosomal RNA
Source: RNAcentral